Molecule: ribosomal RNA, 321 nt
Filed under: Triticum aestivum (bread wheat)
Lineage: Eukaryota; Viridiplantae; Streptophyta; Magnoliopsida; Poales; Poaceae
Description: partial small subunit ribosomal RNA
Source: RNAcentral
AUGCAUUGGGACUUUGGGAGGCCGGCACCGUCGUGCAAGUACGUCGCCUCCAUCCACGAGCUUAUGGGUCCCAUCACUACGCCACCUAGCCAUCACGGCGAGCAUCUUGUCGCCGUCGCACACAACCAUCAUAACACACGCACCACAGUCACGAACAUAGCAGCAGGCCAGCAGCAGCAACACAGCACGCACACCCAGCGCGAAGGGCAACACACUCACGAACAUAGCAGCAGCGGAACCACAAAACACACAUCCGGCGGUGCUGCGCGCGUGCGGCCACAAGGAGGGCUGAAGGCGUGCAUGACCUCAAGCAAGAAGUAG